CUACUACUCCCUCCAUUCGGAAUUACUUGUCGCAGAAAUAGAUGUAUCUAGAUGUAUUUUUAAUUCUAGAUACAUCCAUAUUCGAGACAAGUAAUUCCGAACGGAGGGAGUACUUA
This is a non-coding RNA of Triticum aestivum (bread wheat), 116 nucleotides long. The record is from Rfam. Lineage: Eukaryota; Viridiplantae; Streptophyta; Magnoliopsida; Poales; Poaceae.